CACUCAUGUAUAUAUAUUUAUAUAGAGUUGAGCUAGAAUACUAUCGAUAGCAAACGGGCUCCGUUGCCGUCCAUUUGUUUUUAAUGAUAGAGCCUCAAAAUCGACGAUCGGUACCGUUGAAUAUGAUCUAUACCACUUGAAGUGUUUAGAAAUCAAAUUUCAAAUCUUUUCGACAUCAUUUGCCUAAUGAUCAAAAGAUUUCAAUUUUUGUAAUUUUAAUGGUGGAUAUGAGGCGUUUUCUCGUUUAACGGCGUAAAGAUAUCUAAAUCAAUUGAAUUUUUGUUAGAAAAUUCUUUAAACUAUUUAAAACAAGAUCAAUACUCUUGAUCUUGAUUUUAAGACUCCUAUCAUCAUUUUUUAAAGAAUAUUCAUUUUCAGUCGUUCAUUUUUGUGUCCACUCGAUGAAUAAGAGAACAAUAUCGAAAAUGUAUGAAAUUUGAUUUAUAAACACUUCAAGUGGUAUAGAUCAUAUUCAACGGCGCCGAUCGUCGAUUUGGAUGCUCGAUCAUCGAAAACAAAUGGGUGGCAACGGAGCUAGUUUGCUAUCGAUAGUAUUCUAGCUCAACUCUAUUUAUAUAUAUGUAUGUAUGUAUAUAUCAACUUUUGUUACUAGCUUGUUACUUGAUAUACAUUUUCUUUGGCUUUCUUUGGUAAGCCGACGAAGCAAAGUGACGUAAAUAAUCCGUUUUUAAAAAUUUGUGUUCAAACCGACAAAAUCGAACUGCAACCAAAUCAUUAUUUUUGGUUUCAUUUGGUUUGGUUUUUACGACUUUGGUAUAGUUUUUGGUUGUGAUAAUAUGAAAUUGAUUUAGCUCGGUUAGAUUUUAGUUUAUCUGAUAAGUCAAAUCAAAUGGAAACAUGUUCAUAACUGGACUCAUAAAAUGCGUUCGACUUUGAUUUAAUCAUGCCAAGAAUGCUUAAUGCAAUGCCAUACUUGGUUGCUCCAAAAAAAAACACAACAACAACAACGGCUACUUUUCAUAUCCGAAGCAGCUUCUUUGACGAUCUUUGAAGGAUAACAAAUGGUUGUGAACAGUCUGAGUUAAUUAUCAUAUUUUAAGUGGAUAUUCGAUUGUCUAAUUUCCUAUGGAACACCAAAUUAGCUAUUUCCAGUUGUAUACUUUUGUGCUUACUCUGUGGUUUUACAUUAAAUAAAAACGUACAAAACUUAUCUGAAUUAUGGGUCGUUUUUUAUUCGACUAUCUGAUAUAUCAAAAUUUUGAUUUUUACCAUUCAAUCUUUCAAUUUAUUUUGUUUGAGUCAACGAUAAAAUUUAGCUAGUAUAUUUUAUACAAUUCUCACAAUUAUUUAUUAAAGUAAAUAAUUAGCUUAAAUUUUAACGUCAAAGUUUUGUUGAGCAAUUCAAAUCAAACAAAUUGAAAGGGUAGGUAAUGAAAUUAAAAUUUUGAAAAGUCGGUAGUUAAUUCAAAAUGGUAUAUAGUUUAGAUAAGUUUUGUAUAUUUUUACCUUUAUAUUAUAUACUUAUGUUAACAAGAUGAGGAAUGGUUACAUUUUUGAAAUUAAUAGAAUGGUAAAAUGAGAUAGAAAUAGAAUUAUUUAGAAUGGCACCAUAAACAAUUGUUGUUUACUCUUUGGGCAUGUUUAAUUUGAACGAUUUGUAGCUUGAAAUGAGAAUCAAAAUGAUUAAUUCGGAAUGUUAGUGAUUGGUUUGAGGAAUUGACAUUCUGAUUAUCAUUUUGGGGGAAAUCAAAUCCCUCUAAACUAUUCCGACUACAUUGGUGGAAAUCAACUUCGAUUCCGCGAGGGAUAGAGAAAAAAACUAUACGCCCCACUUCUUAGAGGGUUACCCAUCAUAAGACUAUUCCAACCCUAGCAUGCUUAUCUCUUUUAAUCUUGUAGAACGGAGCGGAAGUAUUCGUUCGUACCCUUUUGCGGAAGCGAUUCGCGUUACAACUCAAUGAGUCCGGAUCGUCGAGGUUGAUUCACGUGUCCUUUGAUCGUCCUUGAUUAAAUCUUCUCACGUUCCAAACUCGCGAUGGAUCGAGCUACAAACGAGCACGAUCACAAAUCCACCGUUCAAGUCUCUCUUAGAAUAAUAGGUUGAUGGAGGAUGUGGUUUCUCUCUUUCGUUUUCUUAUUCUCUUUUCUUUUACCGUUCUUGUACCUCUUUGUUAUGUGGGAUCGUCCGCAUAUUUAUAAGAGAUUCCAAAAUCCUAAUAGCAUUAGAGAUAAGGCCAAAUCGGUUAUUAAUUGUUAUCCUAAUAUGACUAGGAUUUAUCUCUAACUAACUUUCCAAUUUGAAAGCGAGAUUAAUUCCAAUCCAAUUAGAUAACAUAACAUCCGUCGGAUCGAACCCGCUUAUGGGCGUACCCGAUUCGAUUUAACCGAAUGCCAACAUCUCCCACUCGCACAUGACGGGAUCGAUGCCAUCGUAACCACUUCCUUAACAUCACACCAUUAUUAAUUCUAUUCAUACAGGAAAAUGAAUAGUGCGACCGCCGAGUCAACCUGCAUUUUGGGAGCUCUAUACUAGAAACCGCAUCCGGCCAACAUAGAGACAUCAAUCCUCAAAAAGGAAAAAAUAUUAGACUCGUGAUGUCCUAGACCAUUGAAUUACAUCAGGUUCAGCAUCUCUAAUCCCUCAAAGAGCCAUGUUAACCGCAAUUGCGCACAUUAUGACACUAUACUCAUGAUUGUUUCGCUAUACUGAAGCAAUACAACCUGUCGACAAUGAGUCAAAGUGUCUUAAUGUAAUUCAACUAGUCUUCCUUAAGCCCUCAUGCCACUGAGUUGAGAACUGAUUGCUUUCCCGGCAAUGCCCCAUAAAGCCGCAUCACUCAUGGCCGUAGGAAACAUGCCAAAGUAGCAACAUCAAUUCUUUCGCUUAAUAACNUUAUAACUGUCAAACCGCAUAGUCAGACUGCGCAACCUUGUAGCCGAAGUUGCACCAAAUUUUGCUUUGAGAGCCUACCACAUGUCAUACGCAGUCGGAUACUGCUCACACUCGCACAAGAGAUCAUUCUGCAUACUGCUCAGCAACGUGAUGCGAGCAAUGCGAUCCUUUUUGAGCCAAUUAUUAUAGGCUUCCAUAUCUCGGCGAGCCUAGGCACUGGUGCCCUCUGUGGGUAGGUCCAUUUUAUUACUCAUGUUUUCCAGAACCUCUUGCUCAGCGAGAACAUAUUGAAUUUUACGGUGCCAAAUAUCAUAAUUGUCACCAUCCAAUUUCUCGCCCUUGUUUAAAUCCGCAAUAAUUUGUUUGGAAGUCAUUAAAUCUCACUUUGUUCAUACAAUGCGCAGAAAAAAAGAUAUUUUAAAAUUAGUACACGAAACGUGUAUUCAAUUUUGCCGCAUCUCUAAUUAAAUAAAUUAAAAAUUAGAUCAUACAUGCGUAAAGAAAAAUUUCGCUAUGCUCAUAAUCACAUCACACACCAUAUGUCAAAAUAUUUUUAAUUAUUUAAUUAAGAUGCACAAAAUAUUUGAGAGUAACAGCAUAUAAAUUUACUCUACCAAAAUUAAAAAAUCCCACUCGAUAAGGCAUGCAUAAAUAUAUAUAUUACGCCAAAAGUUACAUCUUUUCAUCAUAAAAAGGUAAAAAUAAAAAAUAUGCGUUUUCUACAUCACAAAAGAAUAUUGGAUCAUUGAUGAUAUAUCACAAAAGCACAUUAAUCAUCAAAUAUAUAUAUAAUUUUAUUAAAAAAAAAUUGGUGGAGAAAAAAGAAGAAAAGAAAAGAAAAUCUGCUGGCCCCUUGCGGGCUGCGGCCUGCAUGGGCUCCAAGCGCGUGGUCGUCGUGGUCAUCCGAAAAAAUUUCAGAAAAAAAAAACACAACUCAUGAUAUAGAACACCAAAACUUGCAAGAAAAAUAUCAAUGGAAACCUUGUGACGAGCUCUUCCAAAUCAUGCAAGUUUCACAAUGAGAUAUUCAUUUUCGAAAAAACCGCCAAAAACGCUCACAUACAUGCAAGAAAAAAUCUAAAACAUGAUAGAUUUAAUAUAUCGCAUGUAAUCUCGUUAAAAGAUGUAUCAAGACCACGAAAUCAACCAAAAAAGACUCUGAUACCAAUUGUCGGAUCGUUGGCGCUAACCAUUAAUCCCAAAAGCUCGAGCUGUUAGAAAUACGCAACCAAUUCACUUAAAGCGUAUAGAAACAGCGCCCACAGGUCUCGAUUGUGACUCGGCCCACCUGGCCUCACGCCACUUCGAACAUGACUCGGCCCAACCUAGCCUCACGCCAUUUCGAACAUGACUCGGCCCACAUGGCCUCCCGCCAUAGGGCAGGAUGCUGGCCCAUUUAAGCCAACAAAUCUCUUGGGCCUAGCCACUAUCGAAAAUAUUAUAGUAAGAUUAAGAAGUUUAGUUAUAUUAUCUUAUAUAUAAAAUUAUUCCAAAUCCUAGGAUCUCACAUUUUUUCUCCUUUUAAGUCCUGAUGUCUUCAUCAGGCUCAAAUAUUCACAAGUACCAAGAGAUAUAAGAUUCAUCUCUCUAACCUUAGCCGACCUUGUGAAAAACCGCACUCUACCCACAAUAGUUAUUAGUUAGACAGUUUCACUCUGUCUGCUGAAUAACUCUGGCUCUACCGAGACUCAUCUUAUACUUUAGCCGGCAAUUGGCUCUAAUACUAACUUAAUUGAAUUGGUUGGUUGCGGUGGUAUUGUAGCAGGUGGUAUGCUGCGCGAAUAUAGGGGUGACUUUGUUCGUGUGGACAGAGGAAUUCCUAUAUUUGUGGCGAAUUUGCUCGUCUUCUGGACAAAGUUAUUUUUUUAAAAAAAGUUAGGCAUUUUCUACUAGCUUAACUUAUCAAAAUCAGGCCUUUUUCUAAAAUGGCUUUACAAAAACUCUUAUUUAAAUUUAAAUAUUAAUUGACAGCCCUUUUUGCAUAAAGAAUUCACCUUUUUUUUUUUGCAAAAUUGGUUCAUAUAUUUUUUAUUUUGCAUAUUCGGAUCGAAUUUUUAGAAAUCUAACCAAAAUGCCUCUCUCUUCUCUUUCUUUACUCUCUCUCAUCUCCUUCGUUGUGACGCCAAUGUUGCCAACAUUGUCAUAGUUCCUUUCCUCUCCUUUCUCAUUCUCCACAACCUUCUACCUCUUUCUAUCUGACCUCCUCCUUCUUAUCCUCCGUUGCUAUCGUCGCGGACCACCAGCCGCCUGUAGCAAGCAACGCCUCGAGCAGGCUAGGGACGAUAACUAUAGAAAGUCGACUCUUUUCUCCGGACGUUGCAAUCCUAUUCCCGCCAUCGAGGAGGCCACCGUCGACGAACCUCCGUCGAGACAUGCAGCUUCUAUAUUUAUUCGAAUACACAGAUUUAUCAGACAUGUUCACAUGAAAACCAUUUGAUACAACCAAAGAGUCAAAUUUCAAAAACCAUUGCUUAGGAGCUUGCUUAAGUCCAUAUAAAAAUCUAUUCAAUUUGCACAUUUUGUUCUCAUGCCCAAAAACUACAAAGUUUUCAAAUUGCUUUAUAUAAAUAUCUUCAUAAAAAUCACCAUUCAGAAAGACUGUCUUAACAUCCAUUUGAUGAACAAUCAAAUUAUGAAUAGAGGCUUCCUACUUUCACUGGGCGUGACACCCACACUUUAAAAUAAUUCAGAUUAGGCUUCCUACUUUCCAAAGCUCAUAGGGAGACACAAUAGAAUUCUUGUGGGGAAUUUUAUUUAAGGGGCAAUUGCCUAUAUACCCCUGAAAAGUUUCUGGUUUUCUUAUUUACCCUUCUUAGAAGGCUAAUAUUGAAAAUACCCUUCUUAUGUUCCAAGUUUUUCUAAAAUACCCCUGGAGUUAAGUUCCGUUAGUGAGUUGCCGUUAUCUCUGAAAAAUGACCAUUUUGCCCAUUCCAAUAUACCCUUGUACCGUAACAAACUUUUCUUAUACACCCUUCAUAUAGCAAAUACUUUUCUUAUUUGCCCUUCAGCCGGAUCCGGAGCAGAGGGCUUGCAGGGGUCCGAUGGCGUUGCGGCCCUCUUGCUCCCGACGCCGGCCAAGGCAGCGGAGGAGGAGAAGGACGACGAGAGCGGCGAGAGAUGGGAUCGUCACUGCGGCCCUCUUGCUCCCGGCGCCGGCUAAGGCGGCGGAGAAGGUAGACGACGGCGACGACGAGAGCAGCGGUGGAAGAGGACGACGAGAGCGACGAGAGGGGUGGUGUUGGAGGUGGAGGUGUAGGAGGAGAUGAGGCGAGGUGGAGGCGGAGGAGCCGGCCGGUGGUGGCGACCAAGUUGGGGAAGAAAGAGAGGAUAAUUUUAGGGAUUAGUAUAAUAAGGUAGGGGCAAAAUAGGUAUUUUGUUCAGAUUUUAACUCUAGUAUAGAUUUAACCCAUGUUUAACCCGAGUUAAGCUAACAGGGGAUAACUGCGGGGGUAUUUUGGAAUAACGGUGAAACAUAUGAGGGGCAUUUUAGAAAGAAAAAAAAAAAGUAGGGGUAGAUCGGAUAUUUUCGAAUACAUGAAGGGUAUAUAGGCAAUUAUCCCUUUAUUUAAAAUCAUACAUACAAAAUCAAAGCUUCCCUCCAUAAGUUAUCGGGUGCACCAAAUAUAAUAAUCAUCGAGUUCACCAUAUCCAUCAAAGUCCUAUUCUUGCGUUCAACAACUCCAUUAGAUUGAGGUGUAUAAGGAGCAGUCACUUGAUGCACAACUCCAAACUCUUAACAGAAAGCAGUCAUCUCAUUUGAAGUAUAUUCAUCAUCUCGAUCAGACCUCAAAAUCUUAAUUUUCUUAACUAAUUGAUUUUCAACCUCAGCCUUAUAAAUCUUGAAUCUGUUUGAAUCUCAUCUUUUGAUUUGAUCAAGUAAACAUAACAAUAUUUUGAUUGAUCAUCUAUAAAAGUCACAAAAUGCUUAUUUUCACCUCUACUAGAUCUACUUCCAUCACAAACAUCACUUUGCACCAAUUCUAAAAUAUCACAAUCUCUAUCCAUAGAUUUAAAUAUUUUCCUAGGCUUAAAUAGCUUGCACAUAUAUUUCACAUAUAUGAUCAUGUAAAUCAGAUUUAGGAAUCAAAUAAAGAUGCAUCAAUCUUUUGAUUGUAUUAAAAAUUUACAUGUCCCAAUCUUCUAUGACAAAUAUUAGGAGAAAUAACAUUCAAAACAAAAGCACUUACAUUAACGGAAGGAGAGAUACAGAUAAUUUAAAUAAACCGCCACUCAAAAAUCCCUUCCGUACAAAGUUUACACCUUUUGUUAUAACUAUCUUAUUACAUUCAAAUACUAACUUAAAAUCCUACUGAACUAAAAGAGAAGCACUAAU
RNAcentral lists this long non-coding RNA (7187 nucleotides) under Ananas comosus (pineapple). RNAcentral describes it as "long non-coding RNA (ACOM_LNC013741)". The record is from RNAcentral. Lineage: Eukaryota; Viridiplantae; Streptophyta; Magnoliopsida; Poales; Bromeliaceae.